GGAUGUGAGGGCUAUCUGGCUGCGACAUCUGUUACCCCAUUGAUUACCAGGGUUGAUGUGGCUGAUCUGGCUGGCUAGGCGGGUGUCCCCUUCCUCCCUCACCGCUCCAUGUGCGUCCCUCCCAAAGUUGCCACGCACUCGAAGAGGACGGCCUUCCCCGAACAGAGACUGACUGACUGGUCUUCGGUAGAGGGUCUAAAAGUAGCUGCACUCCCCUGCUAGAACCUCCAAACAAGCUCUCAAGAAAAGACUCCAACAAAAGUAUAUUAUCUCAAUGUCGGUGGCCAACAAUUUGCAACUGCUUCAAAUCCACACGGCAGUUCAGUUACCAAGUAGUCUAACAAAA
RNAcentral lists this small nuclear RNA (346 nucleotides) under Erinaceus europaeus (western European hedgehog). RNAcentral describes it as "7SK RNA". It matches the Rfam family "7SK RNA", at positions 1 to 293 of the family's 331-position model. From Rfam's summary of the family: 7SK was discovered as an abundant small nuclear RNA in the mid-70s but a possible function has only recently been suggested. Two independent studies have found that 7SK RNA binds the CDK9/cyclin T complex (known as elongation factor P-TEFb). Lineage: Eukaryota; Metazoa; Chordata; Mammalia; Eulipotyphla; Erinaceidae. The record is from Rfam by way of RNAcentral.